Molecule: non-coding RNA, 733 nt
Organism: Spodoptera litura
Lineage: Eukaryota; Metazoa; Arthropoda; Insecta; Lepidoptera; Noctuidae
Source: RefSeq, a predicted model, not a curated record
GACGGGUGCAACACGUGCGUGCAGUCAAAUAGGGUUUUUCGUACACAAUGAAUAGCCCGGAGCUUGAGGAUGAACGCAUACGUCUUGUUUUAAUGCAGUCUGACAGUGAAGAUGACUAGUUAUCCGACGGUAGCGAAAAGGAAGAUCAUUUGCGUACGCGAAGUCAAAAUAGUGAUACUGAGCAAAAUGCAAGCAGUGAUGGCGAGGAUAACGUACGACUAUUUGAAUUGCAACAUCAUUAUCCACAUAUGUCAGAAGAAGAGGAAUCGGAUAGCCAGGUUACUGAACACUUGCAAGGCCGCAAAGAAACACCUCAAUUGCCGAGACAGCUACGCAAGAGACUCAGAGAAUUCAUCGGAGAACCUGAACAAGAAGGUCCUGUUAGGGUUCCAGGUGUACGAAAAAGGUGCCAAGUACGUCCUUAUGCCCGCCAUCGCAAGACAGCCAAUAUUUGUGAAGAUUGCCAUAAGUAUAUUUGUCCAGAACACACUAUUUCAUUCUGCCGAGGUUGUGUUGCAAUCAUAGACAAUAAUGAUUUGUAAUUUAUAAUUUGAUGAUAAGAUUGUAAGUGCAACUAAUUGACCUUUACGUAUGUACCAAAUUAAAAGUUAAUCGUCUAAGAAGGAAGUUCCUUUUUGUUGUUUUUAGUGUAAGUUUAGAAAGUUUAUGUAAAAGUUGAUUAUUUUGUAGUACUUUGUUAAAAGUGAUUUAAUUAUAUUAUUUUGUACUCUUA